Molecule: long non-coding RNA, 262 nt
Filed under: Parus major (Great Tit)
Lineage: Eukaryota; Metazoa; Chordata; Aves; Passeriformes; Paridae
Description: lncRNA (ENSPMJG00000002698.1)
Source: RNAcentral
AAAAAAAGUAUUUUGAAGAAAGUUAGUGGAGCCUCAUAAUCCUUCCACUUGGAUAUUGCAACCUAAGAGCAGAAUCAUGCCUGGCUUGCUCACCAUAAUGUAUUCCCUGUGGAAUCUGUUCCUUGAUUUCACUGUCCCAGAAAGAUUUAUACUCUGGAAGAGAAAGAAGAAAUCUAGACACAACCUCAUGGUUUUGUAUUUUGUUACUCCACAUAAUCAUUUUGUCUCAAAAAUAAUUUACUUUGUGGUAUGUAAUAUAUAG